UACAGAGGUGGCAAGCGUUGUUCGGAAUUACUGGGCGUAAAGGGCGCGUAGGCGGCCUUCUAAGUCAGACGUGAAAUCCCCCGGCUUAACCUGGGAACUGCGUCUGAUACUGGAAGGCUAGAGUGCGGGAGAGGGAUGCGGAAUUCCAGGUGUAGCGGUGAAAUGCGUAGAUAUCUGGAGGAACACCGGUGGCGAAGGCGGCAUCCUGGACCGACACUGACGCGGAGGAGCGAAAGCUAGGGUAGCAAACGGG
Molecule: ribosomal RNA, 253 nt
Filed under: uncultured bacterium
Lineage: Bacteria
Description: partial 16S ribosomal RNA
Rfam family: Bacterial small subunit ribosomal RNA
Source: RNAcentral